GAAUUUUGUGAUGCUGGCUUGCCUUAGUUAACCCCUAGCUUUUAUUUUGUGUGCUGCCAGCUUGCCUUAGUUAACCUUUAACUUUUACUCUUGACUGUUCUUUCUUUAUGUAAUAAUUGUUUGCCCAGUGGUCUGUUGAACAGCCCUGUCGGUUUUCUGUUUAAAGUUUGUAAUUAAAACCUUUUUCUUUACUUGUGUUGCGGGCUCAUGUAUGUUACUCCUUCCCUGACGCCUAGCAGAGGGGGUUGUAACAUAAGUGGCGGCUCGUCCGGGAUCCUCCUUUUCCCCAUAAGGAGAAUUCCCUUUUGUGAAAGAGAGAACGUGUGUUUUGCUCAAUUUUGGGAUUUUUUUCUUCUUCUGCCCUUUUCCCUGUUUUGAGCGCCAUGUCGGCUCCAUUUUGUUUAGAGGAUUUUUUGAAAGCUCCAUCUGUUGUGCUCCUUGAGAGCUGCCGCAAAUGCGAAUUGCUGAAAAUUGCAGAACACCUUAAGCUACAGGUCUCUAAAACACUCCGUAAGAGUGACUUGAAAAAGCGGGUAGUAGACGAGUUGGUGGAGGCUGGUUUAAUGCAAGUCCCUGAUCUGCCUGAAGUGCCUAUGGUCUCUGGUGAGCCUAGUCAAACUUCCUCAUUUGAGGGGGACCAUAAAGAUGGUACGGGUCAUGACAGUGUGGGAGAUGAGCGGGGGAAGACGCCGCGCACGCUCCCUCGCUAUGAUCCCCUUUCCUCUGGAAGCUCAGAAGCACGGGACGGGGCCCGGCUAAAGAUGCGCUUGGCACGGCUCCAGUUGGAGGCCGAGGAGAAGGCUCAAGCCAGGCGAGCUCAAUUACAGCUUGAGAUCAGAAAGCUGGAAAUAGAGGCAGAUAAGACAAUGAGGCUGCGUAAGCUGGAGCUGGAGUCUCAGCCACGAGCCUCAUCUGUCUCCGCUGAUGGUCCAGGUUCUGCCCCCGUGUCUACUACUCCUUAUGACAUUAGUAAGUGCAUUUCUUUAGUGCCUGCAUUUAAAGAGGCUGAGGUGGAUUCUUAUUUUGCAGCAUUUCAGCGCAUUGCUGGUGCUUUGCGGUGGCCUAGUGAGAUCUGGCCCCUUUUAUUACAGUGUAAACUGACUGGAAAAGCCCAAGAGGUGGUAGUUGCGCUUCCCUUAAAAGACAGUUUGGAGUAUUCUUGUGUUAAAUCAGCUGUGUUGCAAGCAUAUGAAUUGGUUCCAGAAGCAUACAGGCAGAAAUUUCGGCUACAGAGGAAACUUCCCUCCCAAACGUAUGUGGAGUUUGCCAGGGAAAAAGGUAUCCUCUUUGACAAGUGGUGCUCUGCGUCAAAAGCCAGUGAUUAUGAUUCAUUGCAUGAAUUGAUGUUGCUGGAAGACUUUAAAAAGUGUCUUCCAGAGAGUAUAGUGUUAUACCUGAAUGAGCAGAAAGUAACCACUUUAGCAACUGCAGGAGUUCUCGCAGACGAGUAUGUGCUCACCCAUAAGUCCUAUUUUCUGGUUGGAAUAGAGAUGGGUUAUGCUCCUAAACCAGUUCACAAAGUCUAUAUCAAAUCAGAACUCGUUACGGGAUUUUUCCCCGUCGCAGUAUGCCCAACCUUACCCAUAGAGGGGGUUGCCAUGUUGCUAGGAAAUGAUAUUGUGGGCGGAUUAGUGCGUCCUAGUCUAGAGGUGCUGGAUAAGCCCCUCAGUUCUGAUGCCCCAGAGAUUUCUGUGACCCCAAAGCUGUACCCAGCCUGUGUGGUUACUCAUGCCCAAGCACGUAAAGACGGUUACGUUACCCUCGCUGAUUCUGUGUUGAGGACCUCAUUUUCUGAGGAGGGUGUCGCGUUAUCUGAACAAAACAAUGUUUUGUCUCCACCAGACUUUGUGAACCCUAAGGAGCCUGGUCCAUCUGAAAAAGAUAUUCCACUGCCUUUGACCCGAGAAAACCUGUCGACAGCUCAGAUAGCUGGCAAAUCAUUAAAGCCAUGUUUUAAGCGUGUGGUAAGUGCUGAGCAAGCCAGCCAUGAGCAACAAGCCUGUUCCAUAGAACAAAAUGUGCUAAUGCCCUUCGUGCCUCCCGCUUCGAUCUUUGUUGAACUUGUUCAUAUUGCUGAACUUUGUCAAACCUUGGUGCAUGUGUAACCACGGUAACUUCUGUCCCUACUAACUGCCAGUCCCUUUAUUGUGGCGGGAAUGAACCCUGUAGAAGUUCCGGGUCAAUCAGCUGCAUGUCCCUGCUCCUCUGGCUGCUGUUGUCCCUGUGGUUGGCGUACUUGUGAGAUAUCGACAAAUUUUACACUACAGACCAGUUGACAGCGUGCAAUAACCCGGCCGAUUCAUUCAUCUUUACACCACCUCACAAUCGACUCAACGGUGGGACGGCUACAGUGUCCUCUGCUGCUGGUUGUAGGUGAGGAUGAUCAGAACUGGCCAUCCCAAGAGUCUGCAUUGGAU
Maylandia zebra (zebra mbuna) is the source of this 2417-nucleotide non-coding RNA. NCBI's taxonomy places the organism in Eukaryota, Metazoa, Chordata, Actinopteri, Cichliformes, Cichlidae. The record is from RefSeq and is a predicted model, not a curated record.